Molecule: transfer RNA, 67 nt
Filed under: Neocrepidodera sp. BMNH 848121
Lineage: Eukaryota; Metazoa; Arthropoda; Insecta; Coleoptera; Chrysomelidae
Description: tRNA-Trp
Source: RNAcentral
AAGGAUUUAAGUUAAAAAAACUUUUAACCUUCAAAGUUAAUAAUAGAUUGAACAUAUCUAAGCCUUA